UACGUAGGGGGCAAGCGUUAUCCGGAUUUAUUGGGCGUAAAGAGCGCGUAGGCGGUCUGUUAAGCGAGAUGUGAAAACCGGGGGCUCAACCCGCGGCCUGCAUCUCGAACUGGCAGACUUGAGUCUGGUAGAGGAAAGUGGAAUUCCUGGUGUAGCGGUGAAAUGCGCAGAUAUCAGGAGGAACACCAGUGGCGAAGGCGGCUUUCUGGGCCACGACUGACGCUGAGGCGCGAAAGCUAGGGGAGCGAACAGG
This 253-nucleotide ribosomal RNA is filed under the name uncultured prokaryote. Its description in RNAcentral is "partial 16S ribosomal RNA". It matches the Rfam family "Bacterial small subunit ribosomal RNA", at positions 524 to 776 of the family's 1533-position model. The record is from RNAcentral.